This 484-nucleotide ribosomal RNA is filed under the name uncultured bacterium. RNAcentral describes it as "partial 16S ribosomal RNA". It matches the Rfam family "Bacterial small subunit ribosomal RNA", at positions 28 to 523 of the family's 1533-position model. The record is from RNAcentral.
GAUGAACGCUGGCGGCGUGCUUAACACAUGCAAGUCGAACGGUGAAGCAGGAGCUUGCUCUUGUGGAUCAGUGGCGAACGGGUGAGUAACACGUGAGCAACCUGCCCCUGACUCUGGGAUAAGCGCUGGAAACGGCGUCUAAUACUGGAUAUGUGAUGUGACCGCAUGGUCUGCAUCUGGAAAGAAUUUCGGUUGGGGAUGGGCUCGCGGCCUAUCAGCUUGUUGGUGAGGUAAUGGCUCACCAAGGCGUCGACGGGUAGCCGGCCUGAGAGGGUGACCGGCGACCCUGGGACUGGGAGACGGCCCAGACUCCUACGGGAGGCAGCAGUGGGGAAUACUGCACAAUGGGCGGAAGCCUGAUGCAGCAACGCCGCGUGAGGGAUGACGGCCUUCGGGUUGUAAACCUCUUUUAGCAGGGAAGAAGCGAAAGUGACGGUACCUGCAGAAAAAGCACCGGCUAACUACGUGCCAGCAGCCGCCGUAA